CCACGCCGUAAACGAUGAGUACUAGGUGUCGGAGGUUUCAAUACCCUCGGUGCCGCAGUUAACGCAAUAAGUACUCCGCCUGGGGACUACGGUCGCAAGACUGAAACUCAAAGGAAUUGACGGGGGCCCGCACAAGCGGUGGAGCAUGUGGUUUAAUUCGAUGCAACGCGAAGAACCUUACCUGGCCUUGACAUACCAAGAGUUUGCUAGAGAUAGCGAAGUGCCUUCGGGAACUUGGAUACAGGUGCUGCAUGGCUGU
Molecule: ribosomal RNA, 259 nt
Filed under: uncultured bacterium
Lineage: Bacteria
Description: partial 16S ribosomal RNA
Rfam family: Bacterial small subunit ribosomal RNA
Source: RNAcentral